GCAAACAUUGCAUAUGAACCACCAGGACCAUAGAACAUCUUGAAGGUAGAGACAUCGUAGAUCUUUCCUUUGAUAGCCAUCAACAACGGUUUUUCUGAGUCAGAGCCAUAAUAAGCUCUAAGUUCUUCUUCCGUUAUGUCGUCGAGGUGAAGAGAUUGUCUUUUGAUGGGAACAAAGUCAUCAGCAGAGAAAAACAUGCCACAAACAACUUUGUAAGUCACAACCAUCAAUGCUACUAUUGACACCUAAUUUUUGCCCUCUACGACUAAAUUUAAUCCUGAGUUUCUUCAGUUUUUAAUAAACCAAAAUAAUUAUUUCAUCCAAAUAAAAAAAAACUUAAAAUAUUUUUCGUACGUGAUUUUGUCAUUUUAAGUAGCGAUUAUAUACUAUCGUGUUUAGUUAUACGAGAUUAUAUAAUUUGUUACUUAAAUAUUUAUUUUACAAAAUAUCGGAUUUAAUUAAGGCUUAUCUUGAAAAUAAAUUCAAAUGAUUAAAAUCUUAAUUUAAAUGUAAUUUAUUCUCAAAAAUAAUUUAUUUGGAUAAAUAUGCAUUCAUUUUAUUAAAUCAAGAAGUUCGGGAUAAAAAAAAAGGCAUUAAUUCGUAUUGAAUUUUAAUUUAAUUUAGCCAAUCUAUUAGAUUUGACCAUAAUUGAAAAUUGGUCAUAAUUGCAUUGCAAUUCGUCAAUUAAUUUUUAAUUUGGUCAAAAUAAAUAAAUAUGGCUAAAUUUUAAAUUCCAAUUGGAGUUAUAUUUUAAAGAACCCCAAAAUUUUCAAGAACUCUCAUAACUUUUACCCAAUUCCCACCAAAAAAUAAAUUUCAGUUGUACUAUUCCCCCCAACUUUGUCUUUUUUCAAUUUUGAAAUUUAAAGAUUGUACUACAUUGUACUAUUUCCCCCACAUUAUCUUCCACCUCACCUUAUCUUUAAUUUUUACAUUCCAAAAACCCCCCUAAAUUUUUUUUCUUUCACAUUGGUGGAUGACAAGAAAUAAAUCUUUAUCAUUUCCUAUAAAUACUUUUCUCCCAUAUUGGUGGAAAAGUGAAAAAUAUACCUCAUUCUCUCCUAUAAAUACUACCACUACUUUGGUAGAGAGAGGAUGAGAGAAGGAAGAAAAAAAGGGCUAGAAAGGUAAAAAAAUCCUUUUGAACAAAAAUAGUUAUUUUUAUUUAGUAAAAAUUUUUGUUUCAUAAAGUUGAUCGGCUAAUCAAAAUUUUUGAGUUGCCGGCGACGUUUUUCGGUGGUGGUUGAUUCCAACGAAACUCGUAGUCUCGUUUGCUGCCCCCAAAAGGUAAACACACCUUCUUUUAUCUUUUUUUUUUUAAAAUUAUUUUAGUUUUUAUUAUCGUUUUUCUCUUCAUCUUUUUUCUUCUUCGUAGUUCGUAGAUAUAAUUUUAUUUGUUGGGAUUGUAUAUUAUAGAUGGCCUUGAAGGCCCUAGAACGUUGUGGUAUCGAUAUUCUAAUUAUUUUCAUGUUAAUGAUAUAAAAAUGAGCUAGCAAUAGUUGUAUGUGCCUUUUUUGACUUUAUUCUUUGAUUAUUUUGGUAAAGUUUCAAGCUUUACUUAAAAGAUGUAUUUAUGUUUUUUUUAAAACUCAUUAUUGUUGGAUACAUUUAUUUUUGGUAUGUAAAGUUAUUUUCUUUAUGUUUAGAAGAAUAGUUAAUGUUGAAUGUUUUGUCUUUUCACCUUAUUCUUUGAUCAUUUGAAUAAAGUUUAGAUCUUUAUUUGAAAAACGAUACUCAUGUCUUAUUUAAACUUAUUGUUGAUAGAUAUAUUUGUUUUUAGCAUGUAAAGUUAUUUUCUUUAUGUCGAAAAGAAUAGAUAAUAUUGAUUGUUUCUCUUUUUUUACUUUAUUCUUUGAUUAUUUUGGAUAAAGUUUAGAUCUUUACUUGAAAAACAAUACCCAUGUCUUGUUUAAACUUAUUGUUGGUAGAUAUGUUUUUUUUAGCAUGUAAAGUUGUUUAUUUUAUGUUGGAAGAAUAGUUAUUAUUAUUUGUUGCGCCUUAAUAAAAAUAGUAAUUAGUUAAGUCAAGAAUUUGUCAUUUGCUUACUAAUUAUUUUAAUGGAUUUCAAAACCCUCAUAUAAGAUAUGAAGUGCUAGCUUUAUUUUUCAUCUAAGAUGUUUAUUAUUCUUUGUUCGCAUGUUGUCUUUUCAAAAUGAUAAGAAAGUUCGAAUUUUUGCGGCUAAACAAAAUUAUUUGGAUAUUUUUGACUCAUGCAUAGUAUAAUUGUGAAACUUUUGCUUUGCAUUUUUUAUUUGUUGACUCUCAUUCUUGUGCAAGUGUGCUUAUUCUUGUCAUUCAAAAAUUGGUUCUUGAUAGUUUCUUUUACUUUGAAAUACGUCACUUUUAUGCCUUGAACAUAUAUUAAUUUCUUUAUCUUUUUUUUGCAUGCAAAAAAAUAUAUCUCGAGUCAAAAUAGACUCCUCUCCUCCUGCAUUUCGUAAUGGGUAAAUGAGGCUCACCCCUUCGAGUCAAGUUCGAAGUUUAAACCCAAGGUCCACUACAUGGCGUGCGGGUGCUAGAAGAUAGUCAAAGAAGGAAAAUGAGUCAAAACUCAUUGAUGAGGUCACUAAAAGACUUGAAAAAUCUCAAUUUUUAUUAUUGUCUUCUUUUUAUUUAUUCAUUUAGUUAUUUAUUUAUUCAUUCAUUUCGGCCUCGAAGCCAAAGUUGUAUUUAAUACAAGUGGAGCAAGACUCGAGCCAAAGGCUUGAAAAAUAGUUUAGGACAGGUGAAAUGGGUUGGAAGCCCAACUAGACUAGGACAGGUCUCGUUGAUUUGGGCCUUAUGGCUUAAAUCAUUUACUUUCUUCUCUCAUCCCCUUUUAUGUGUUUAUUUAUUUAUUUAAUUUGUGUAGACUUAGUUAAAAUCCCUAUUAAGUUGCCUAAAAUUGUUUUACACAAAUCCUUUCUAAAAACCAAUCACUUUUCAACAAAUUAAUCUUUUAGAAGUUAAUCAAAGACGAUUUUCAAACAGUCCGGACAACCGCAAGUUAUCGGACGUUUUAGGUGUCUAACACCUUCCUAAAACGUUAAUAAGAACCGCUUACUCAGAAUCUCUUAACUUAAAUGAUUUUUCUGCUUUGGAUCGUUUGAAGUAACUCUCUAAAGGUUUCUUAAUUCCUUUUCAAAAUUAAGUGGCGACUCUUUUUCAAAAGUCAAAAUUUCUUCGCAAAACAGCUAUAAUGGUGAAGAACGUUGUCGGCCAUAACCCCGUGUACUGCAAGAUAAUCUCUGUCAUUGUCGUCCAUACCGCCGUCGUCAUUCUUCUCUUUUUAGUUUGGUGGAGAAAGAGGAAAAAUUGAGUUGAAAUGCCUACCAAAAAAUGAGUUGGAAUGCCUAUCAGCUCUGAGCUGCAAUACACUCCUAUACUUACUACUACAUUACAACCAAACAAAUAUUUUUCCAAUAUCAAACAAAUUAAAUCAGCUAACAAUAUUAUUACUACAUCAAGCAAAAGUCAAAUAUUUUUCUAGUUACUAAUGAUAUUUAAUAUAGUAAAUGACCUACCAAAGUAAUACAAUUCAAAUUAACAUUUUAACACACAAAAUAAUAUAAUUCCAAGAUAUCAAAGACCCCCCACAUAAAAGAGCAGCAAAAAUCUGCAGUCAUGGGUGGCUGUCUUUCUGUAGUCCAUGUUUUUCAACAAUUCUACUCUCCUGCAACAUAUCUGCUUUAAAUGCUUCAGCACUUGUCCUAUCCCAAACACUUUCUUCUUCUGCUUUAUUCUCAGUUGGUGUUUUCUUUGGAACAAGUUGUCCCACCCAGGUGUACUUGUCCAUAAAUUUAUAUUUCCAGUCUUGCAGAAUUUCAAGUUAAGCGUCACUAAGGCCUUCGAGGCUCCCAUUAAAAUCUUCAGGUUUGAAUGAUAACUGAGCUAAUGCUCAGCUUGCAUCUCUUCUAACAAACAUUGAAUAUGAACCACCAGGACCAUAGAACAUCUUGGAGGUAGAUACAGUGUAGAUCUUUCCUUUGAUAGCCAUCGAAAAUGGUUUUUCUGAGUCAGAGCCAUUAUAAGCUCUAAGUUCCUCUUUCGUCAUGUCACCAAGGUUGAGAGACUGUCUUUUGAUAGGAACAAAGUCAUCACUAGAGAAGAACAUGCCACAAACAACUUUGUAAGUCACAACCAUCAACGCUACGAUGGUGAAGAACGUUGUCGACCAUAACCCCGUGUACUGUAAAAUGAUCUCUGCCGUUGUCGUCCAUACCGCCGUUGUCAUUCUUCUCUUUUUAGUUUGGUGGAGAAAGAGGAAAAAUAAGUUGGAAUGCCUACCAACUUUUGAGCUACAAUGCACUCCUAUACUUACUACUACACUACAACCCAAAUACUUUUCCAAUAUCAAACUAGUUCAAUCAGCUAACAAUACUAUUACUACAUCAAGCAAAAAUCAAAUUUUUUUCUAGUUACUAAUGAUGUUUCAUAGAGUAAAGUAAUACAAUUCAAAUUAACAUUCUAACACUCAAAAUAGUAUAAUUCCAAGAUAUCAAAGACCCCCCCACAUAAAAGAGCAGCAAGAAUUUGCAGUCAUGGAUGACUGUCUUUCUGUAGUCCAUGUUGUUCAACAAUUUUAAUCUCUUGCAGCAUAUCUGCUUUUGAUGCCUUUAGCACUUGUCGUAUCCCAAAACUUUCUUCUUCUGUUUUAUUCUCAGUUGGUGUUUUCUUGAGAACAAGUUAUCCCACCCGAGCGAACUUGUCCAUAAAUUUAUAUUCCCAGUCUUGCAGAAUUUUAAGUUGAGCGUCACUAAGGCCUUCAAGGCUCCCAUUAAAAUCUUCAAGUUUGAAUGAUAACUGAGCUAAGGCUCGGCUUGCAUCUCUUCCAGCAAGCAUUGCAUAUGAACCACCAGGACUAUAGAACAUCUUGGAGGUAGAGACAUCGUAGAUCUUUUCUUUGAUAGCCAUCAACAAUGGUUUUUCUGAGUCAGAGCCAUUAUAAGCUCUAAGUUCCUCUUCCGGCAUGUCACCGAGGUGGAGAGACUAUCUUUUGAUGGGAACAAAGUCAUCAGCAGAGAAGAACAUGCCACAAACAACUUUGUAAGUCACAACCAUCAACGCUACAGUGGUGAAGAACGUUGUCGGCCAUAACCCCGUGUACUGCAAGAUAAUCUCUGUCAUUGUCGUCCAUACCGCCGUCGUCAUUCUUCUCUUUUUAGCUUGAUGGAGAAAGAGGAAAAAAUAAGUUGAAAUGUCUAUCAAAUUUUGAGCUGCAAUGCACUCCUAUACUUACUACUAUAAUUAGCUAACAAUACUAUUACUACAUCAAGCAAAAAUCAAAUCUUUUUCUAGUUACAAAUGAUGUUUCAUAUAGUAAAUGACCUACCAUAGUAAAACAAUUCAAAUUCACAUUUUAACACACAAAAUAGUAUUAUUUCAAGAUAUCAAAGACUCACCACAUAAAAGAGCAGCAAGAAUUUGCAGUCUACUCUCCUGCAGCAUAUCUACUUUUGAUGCUUUCAGCACUUGUCCUAUCCCAAACACUUUCUUCUUCUGUUUUAUUCUCAAUUAGUGUUUUCUUUAAAAAAAGUUGUCCCACCCAGGCGUACUUGUUCAUAAAUUUAUAUUCCCAGUCUUGCAGAAUUUCAAGUUGAGCGUCACUAAGGCCAUCAAGGCUCCCAUUAAAAUAUUCAGGUUUGAAUGACAACUGAGCCAAGGCUCGACUUGCAUCUCUUCCAACAAACAUUGCAUAUGAACCACCAGGACCAUAGAACAUCUUAGAGGUAGAGACAUCGUAGAUCUUUCCUUUGAUAGCCAUCAACAAUGGUUUUCUGACUAAGAGCCAUUAUAAGCUCUAAGUUCCUCUUCCGUCAUGUCACCGAGGUGGAGAGGUUAUCUUUUGAUGGGAACAAAGUCAUCAGCAGAGAAGAACAUGCCACAAACAACUUUGUAAGUCACAACCAUCAACGCUACAGUAGUGAAGAACGUUGUUGGCCAUAACCCCGUGUACUGUAAGAUGAUAUCUGUCAUUGUCGUCCAUACCGCCGCCGUCAUUCUUCUCCUUUUAGUUUGGUGGAGAAAGAGGAAAAAAUGAGUUGGAAUGCCUACCAACUCUUGAGCUGCAAUGCACUCCUAUACUUACUACUACACUACAACCAAUCAAAUACUUUUCCAAUAGCAAACUAGUUGAAUCAGCUAACAAUACUAUUACUACAUCAAGCAAAAAUCAAAUCUUUCUCUAGUUACUAAUGAUGUUUCAUAUAGUAAAUGACUUACCAAAGUAAUACAAUUCAAAUUAACAUUUUAACACACAAAAUAAUAUAAUUCCAAGAUAUCAAAGACCCUCCACAUAAAAGAGCAGCAAAAAUCUGCAGUCAUGGGUGGCUGUCUUUCUGUAGUCCAUGUUCUUCAACAAUUCUACUCUCCUGCAACAUAUCUGCUUUAGAUUCCUUCAGCACUUGUCCUAUCCCAAACACUUUCUUCUUCUGUUUUAUUCUCAGUUGGUGUUUUCUUUGGAACGAGUUGUCCCACCCAACCAUACUUAUCCAUAAAUUUAUAUUUCCAGUCUUGCAGAAUUUCAAGUUAAGCGUCACUAAGGCCUUCGAGGCUCCCAUUAAAAUCUUCAGGUUUGAAUAUAACUGAGUUAAGGCUCAGCUUACAUCUCUUCUAACAAACAUUGCAUAUGAACCACCAGUACCAUAGAACAUCUUGGAGGUAGAGACAUCGUAGAUCUUUCCUUUGAUAGCCAUCAAAAAUGGUUUUUCUGAGUCAAAGCCAUUAUAAGCUCUAAGUUCCUCUUUCGUCAUGUCACCAAGGUUGGGAGACUGUCUUUUGAUGGGAACAAAGUCAUCACCAGAGAAGAACAUGCCACAAACAACUUUGUAAGUCACAACCAUGCUACGAUGGUGAAGAACGCUGUCGACCAUAACCUCGUGUACUGCAAAAUGAUCUCUGCCGUUGUCGUCCAUACCGCCGUCGUCAUUCUUCUCUUUUUAGUUUGGUGGAGAAAGAUGAAAAAUGAGUUGGAAUGCCUACCAACUAAGUUUUGAAAACACUUUUAAAAAACAUUUUUUUUUGAGUCUAUCCAAACGAGCUCUAUAUCCUGAAAUAUAAAUAAUCAUUGUAAAUUUACUUUAUGCCUUAGUAUUCCAAAAUUCAGAAGCUUCAACCAUAAAUCGCACCCCAUACAGUCGGUAGAGUUUACAAAAAUGUCAGUUGCUAUCAACUUAAAAUUAUGAAAAUCGAAUUAACCUGAGAAAUUAGACUUUUAAAUCGAAGUCCAUGUUUAUAUCCUGAUAUAUUGCUUCUAGCCCCAUAAUGUUUUAUCCAGAGUUGAUUCCUAUCAUUAUUAUUUAGUGUUCUUUUUGGCCAUUCUACGUGCCAAUACAUUCCACAUAUUAAUCGUGAUCGUCCUUGAGCAACUAUAUCACCUCAUUUUACUUAUUGACCAUCCUUGAGCGACUAUAUCAUCUGCUAAUGUAAGUUCGAAGACACAUUCUCGCACUCCAGUGAAGCACUAGAAAUGUGCAAAUACCAUCCGAAUUGGUGAGCCUAUCAAUGAUGAUGUUUAGUUACUUACAGUCAAAAUAUUGCCAAGGUCUUGUCACGACUUAGACAAAUCUUAUUUUGCUAGAAACUUCGUAGACUGGAUUUUAAAAAAUAUUUGUUAUAAUGUUUUAUUCAAAGUGAGAAUUCUAUUUCAUUUAGUUUAAAAGACUUUCCUUGAUUUUCAUUGUACUUCCACACUUGAAGUCAGAUUACACCUUCCUGAUCCGACAUGCCCAUUGCGGUCAGAACCUCAGCUCGAAUCCUGACACCUAUCAAGUUUACAUAAAAACCAACCAUUUGUGCAAAGGACAGACUAUAUAAAAUUGAAAGUAAUUAUCUUUUUCAUGUGUAUACUAAUAAAUGUUGUAUUGUCCUAACUUUUGUGUGCAGACAUACAAGAUAACUUUUGGUCUCAUAUGUCCCAAGUGAAAUUAAACAUGGUAAGAAGUUUAGAUUGCAAGUUCAAGACCCAUCAAUUUACAAAAAGCUAAACAUAAUCAUGUUAAAGAUGAUGGCAACUUGUCAAACUCCAGAAUCAAUACACAUCCAACCCAACAUUGUAGAAUUUGUGAUCCUUCAAUUAUUAUUCAUGCAAACACAACUUCAUAAAUUAAAUUAGUAAGAGAGUAUGUAUCAUUGUUUACUGAACCGUUCCAUCAUGAGGGGUCAAGUGGUUCACCCAAUAACAAUGCAAUUAUAAUAUCCCUGAAGUUUACGAGAGAUCCAUUCACAAAUUAAGGCAAUAGAUCCCUGCUUUUUUCAUCAGGUUUUGUAAAUCUAUAUCAAAAAAAAAAAAAGAACUAGUACUACAUUGAGAAUACGAAGCUCAGAAGCUGAGCGUAACAAGCAAAUUUCAUCGAAGAUCCAAGCUUUAAAUAGAUCUCCUUACAUGUUGGCACCUCAUCACCGCAAAACAAUUUGAUAGUUAAAACAAUUUGGCUACUUUAAAUUUGAAGGAAUGUUGGGGGUAAACAACAACAUCCUCCAAUCGUGAUAAGUAGCAACGUAUAGGCACCGUGCAAAAGGUAAUUUCUUACGGGAAUAAGAAGAAAGUACCUGUUGUCUGAGAAAUGCCAUAUACAAAAUAGAGCAACAAAUACAAAUAUAUCCAAGAUAUUGUGUCAAGAGAGUAUACAAUAACUCAAAUGGAUCUUCAUAUUGUAUAUUAAUUCAUUUAGGCUUCAUGCUGCAGACGGGUUACCAUUAACCGGCACCGGCUGCAGACUCUUUUUUGAAGCCCAGUCAUUAAAGGAUUUCACAAUGCAGAUCUUUUUAAACAAUUUUUCUCACAAUAAUGUUUACUUUGAAGAACAAAAUGACACUAAGUGAACCAAUCAAAAACUACUGAGUUUUGUAUUUACUCUAAUAAAAUGGAUUUAGAGAUUACAAGUAACAUAGAUUCAUCUAUUAAAUGUUUACUCAAAUUCACUUUGUGAACUAAAAAAUUCUUUUGUACUGCAAGUCCGCAGGUGCAAACUAAAAUAUUAAACUACUUUAUAUUUGCAAUUUAUCAACAAUAUUAGCAAGAGUUUUUCCAAUGUAAAAUCAUACGACAACAACAACAUACCCAGUAUACUCCCAACAUACCAAGGUCUGUGGAGGGCAAGUAAAGUGCACACAGUCCAUACCACUACCUCCAAAGAAUUAGAGAGACUGUUUCCGAUAGAUCCAUAGCUCGAGACAAAAGAAACAAUAAACAAAGCCAAAAUAAAACAUAAAACAAGAUGAAAUGAAAGAAAUAAGACACCAACAGAGCAACUAUACACUAUUUAACCAAAAGCACACACCACACCCAAACCUCCAAUCUAAGAGCAUAGCUCUACAAUUACUAGCAUGACUACACCAAAGCAAUUCUAUCUACUAGCUACAACACACUCCCACAAACUAGCCCUCUAACCUAAUUCGCGUACUUCAUACCUUCCUAUCUACGGUCAUGUCCUUAAUAAGCUGUAAUUGCUCAAUGUCAUGUCCAAUCACCUCCCUCCAUUGUAAAUUCAUGCAAAGUACAUAUGUUGAUGAUCCAAGUUUUUAACACUAUUCUCCCGUAUGGGCAAAUACAACUAGCCAAAAUGCUAAUUGGAAUUAUUCUCCACUUGUGCUAUAAUUCAACAAAAAAGAGCUUAACAUACCCUUGACCAAUUCAAAUUGGGACAAAAUUACCCUCCAUCACAUCUAUUAGACCUCAAAUAUUCAUUAAUAUUAUUAGAAAUCAUAAUUUGUAAAACAAUCAGCAUACAAAAUGCUUAGGAACAGAGAAAUAACAAAGCUGCUCAGAUAUUGCAAUUAACUAAUCAUGUAUUUAACAUAAGUCCAGACAUAAUUUUAGCAAAUUCAUCACUGCAACCAGAUAAAACUACAAAACUUAAUUAAUAAAUACCAAAAUUUGUUAGUAAUAAAUAAGAGUAGCAAUCAACUCUCAGAGAAAUUCCAUAAAUGGAAGUUUGUGCAGACAAUCAACAUGGCAUCGUUUGAAUCGUGUGAAAUGUACAAGCACAUACUUUAAUGGAGGUCCACUAGAGAAACGCACGAACUACUUACAUCGCAUUUGUUUCUCUGAAUUAAAGAGUGUACAGAUAGAGCAGCAAGAAUCUGCAGUCAUGGGUGGCUGUCUUUCUGUACUCGAUGUUCUUCAACAAUUCUACUCUCCUGCAGCAUAUCUGCUUUUGAUGCCUUCAGCACUAGUCCUAUCCCAAACACUUUCUUCUUCUGCUUUAUUCUCAGUUGGUGUUUUCUUUGGAACAAGCUGUCCCACCUGGGCAUACUUGUCCAUAAAUUUAUAUUCCCAGUCUUGCAGAAUUUCAAGUUGAGCAUCACUUAGGCCUUCAAGGUUCCCAUUAAUAUCUUCAGGUUUGAAUGAUAACUGAGCUAAGGCUCGGCUUGCAUCUCUUCCAGCAAACAUUGCAUAUGAACCACCAGGACCAUAGAACAUCUUGGAGGUAGAGACAUCGUAGAUCUUUCCUUUGAUAGCCAUCAACAAUGGUUUUUCUGAGUCAGAGCCAUUAUAAGCUCUAAGUUCCUCUUCCGUCAUGUUGCCGAGGUGGAGAGGCUGUCUUUUGAUGGGAACAAAGUCAUCAGCAGAGAAGAACAUGCCACAAACAACUUUGUAAGUCACAACCAUCAACGCUACAAUGGUGAAGAACGCUGUCGGCCAUAACCCCGUGUACUGCAAGAUGAUCUCAGUCAUUG
This 10659-nucleotide long non-coding RNA is filed under the name Capsicum annuum. RNAcentral's name for it is "long non-coding RNA (CANN_LNC006098)". Lineage: Eukaryota; Viridiplantae; Streptophyta; Magnoliopsida; Solanales; Solanaceae. The record is from RNAcentral.